Molecule: ribosomal RNA, 428 nt
Filed under: uncultured bacterium
Lineage: Bacteria
Description: partial 16S ribosomal RNA
Rfam family: Bacterial small subunit ribosomal RNA
Source: RNAcentral
GUAGGGAAUAUUGGACAAUGGGGGCAACCCUGAUCCAGCGACGCCGCGUGAGUGAUGAAGGCCUUCGGGUCGUAAAGCUCUGUUGCAGGGGAAGAACACAAUGACGGUACCCUGCUAGAAAGGAUCGGCUAACUUCGUGCCAGCAGCCGCGGUAAGACGAGGGAUCCUAGCGUUGGUCGGAAUUAUUGGGCGUAAAGCGGGUGCAGGUGGCUGGGUAAGUCAGAUGUGAAAGCCUGGGGCUUAACCCCAGAAGUGCAUUUGAUACUGCUGAGCUUGAGUGCUGGAGAGGCUAUUAGAAUUCCUGGUGUAGUGGUGAAAUACGUAGAUAUCAGGAGGAAUACCGGAGGCGAAGGCGGAUAGCUGGCCAGACACUGACACUCAGACCCGAAAGCGUGGGGAUCAAACAGGAUUAGAAACCCGGGUAGUCC